AAUAUAAGACCCCAUUAGCAGCUUCCGGGAAACCAAAGUUUUUCGUUUCCGGGGGAAGUAUGGUUGCAAAGCUGAAACUUAAAGGAAUUGACGGAAGGGCACCACCAGGAGUGGAGCCUGCGGCUUAAUUUGACUCAACACGGGAAAACUCACCCGGCCCGGACACCGUAAGGAUUGACAGAUUGAAAGCUCUUUCUUAAUUCGGUGGGUGGUGGUGCAUGGCCGUUCUUAGUUGGUGGAGCGAUUUGUCUGGUUAAUUCCGAUAACAAACGAGACUCUGGCCUAUUAAAUAGACGAUGAAUUAAAAAGGUUAUCGCACCUCCUAAAAGGAACAACGGGGCCUAACCCCCUGAAAAAAAACAAAAAAAAGUCUG
Molecule: ribosomal RNA, 374 nt
Filed under: uncultured eukaryote
Lineage: Eukaryota
Description: partial 18S ribosomal RNA
Rfam family: Eukaryotic small subunit ribosomal RNA
Source: RNAcentral